UAUUGAAAGGCAUUUAUAGAAGAUCAUAAUGAUCGCAAUGUUUGAGCUGUUUUUGUCCACACAAGAUAUACAUUGUAUGGACAAAAACACUUAUUCUUUUUGUGUUUCAGAAGAACUCAUAUAGAAAUCUGCUAUCAGUUGUUCAGCAGCUGUACCAGCGUGUGAUGAGGCUCCUACGCACCACUCUCUGACAUCACAACUGACUCAAACUAGAGGGAAGGUGAAACCACAAUGAAAAUCUACAGACUAAUGAAAUCAGCAUUACUGACAUAAAACUCAGCGUGAGACAAUCAUUAAAAGGGUGAAGCGUUCAUUGCGAAUGAUGCUGGUGUGUAUUUGUAGGAGCACAGUCCACAGUCCACAAAUCUUGCUUGCAUUACAACGUGAGAUGCCAUAUCAAAACUUACCUCAUGAUCUGAAUAAACAGAGCAAAUACACAGACAAAACAAAGACAGAGUCAAUAGGUAAUUCUUUAGUUGAACACAGAGACACUUAUAUAAACAAAGACUUUGAAUAUACUUAAAAGGGACUGUGAAAUAACUAGGGUAAGUGUACACUUUAAGCCCACUUUCAACUCUGAAGUCAAAUUAAAAGAAGAGAAAAUCAUAUUUUAUGCUGGCCAUUAUUUUAACUGAUUCAGUGAUUUGUUUAUUCCCUGCCAUCUGCCAAUGUUGAGUUAGCCCCACUCAUGUGCAUGCUGUCUCAAGGGACCUCACACAAAGACACCCAAAAACUUUGGAGUUUCAGGACCCUUCAGUAUAUCAACACAUUUCUGCAAUUUUAAGCCAUUUCUUUGUUAAGUAUAUUGAUAUUAUGUCAAAUAAUAGAUAAAUGUAUUGUUUUUUUGUGUAUGAACAAACAGUAUUUUAUCAUUUUUUUUAUCAUUUUCUUUUAAAUGGAAAUAUGAGCUUUUUUGACCUGUGCACAAAGCUAAUCUCAAGGUCAAACCAUUAGCCUCACUGAAUGAUAGACUGCCAAAGAAUUAAGCAUAUGAACUACAAACUCUAAAUGUUUUGUGAUUCAGUUUACAUACAUUUACAAAUAAAUACAUUAUAACUUGUUUUGUAGAGCAGAUUAUUUUCAUAAAUUAAUUUAUUAUAAUUACAUUUUUUUUUUACAUGGGCUUAAUUGGUACGGCGCCACAAAACUUAUGCAAACUAGAGACAACAGAAGCUAACCUUGAAUGAAAAAAAAAAUUCUUAAUGUGGUUACAAUGAAAAUUACUAUGAUGCUUAGUCCACAGUAUAUUUAAGCUCCAUGCAUGUCUUUGUAAACAUAUCUAAGGAAAACAUUGUCUUUUUCACCAUUAAUUAUAAACUUUGAUCAAUUUUCUCAGUGAAAGUGACAACAUUUCUUUGUGUUUUUUUUAUUAACCUUUUACCUAGCCUUAUGUUCUACUGUAAUUAACAACUAUAUUUAGAUAUUUAUAAAAAGAAAUUAUAUAAAUUAUACACUGUGUAGCACCAUUACAUUAUAGAUGUCUGCUAAUGUGUAUCGGUUGUUUUCAGUGAAAAAAUUAAAAAAAGAAAAAAAGAAAAAACCUCUCCAAAAAUUUGUAGAGGCAUGUCACCUUUACCAUGAGGGCACAGGGAAAAAAAGUUGUCUAGCAAAACAGUUUGGAGUGGACAAAGUCUUUGAGGAAGUGAGUGAAUCUCAAGAUCAGGGUUGAUGCUCAUCAGUGACAGGAAACCUUCCUCAGUUCAGCGGUAGAGAGCAAGAUUUUGAGUAGACUGUAAGGAAAAAGCUAAAUUAUAUUAUCUAGACUAAGUGUAAAAUGAAAGAAGGAAAAAUGUGAGGUUGUGAGGGGAUCUAAAAGUGGCUUAGACUAAUGUGUCUUUUUACAAUCUUUACACAUAAUGAAAUGUUCUGC
This is a long non-coding RNA of Cyprinus carpio (common carp), 1870 nucleotides long. RefSeq lists it as uncharacterized. NCBI's taxonomy places the organism in Eukaryota, Metazoa, Chordata, Actinopteri, Cypriniformes, Cyprinidae. The transcript has 3 exons. The record is from RefSeq and is a predicted model, not a curated record.